ACGUUUGUGCAGCCUGCCCAGGGGGCCGACAGCCAGGCAAGGGCUGGCCUGUGGGUGUCUGGCCCAGCUGGACGUCGGCUGCCUUCCUCCUGCCGGCCCUGGCGCUCAGCCCACAGCUGGCGCGACGCUGAGACCUUUCCCCCACUUCCAGCUCGGGCUCCAGAUGAUUCCAGGCCCCUAAAGUUUACAGAAGUCACAUGUGCCUGGCAAGGGCUUCCCAGGCCAUUCCCUGCCUCCUCUCUGCUUGCUUGGGCCUGAAGGCCACACAAGCAAGCAGGGAAGAGAACUCUGGCCCCUGAGGAGCUUGCCUACACAGUGGGCCAGUCAUCAUGGGACCCUGCUUGUGUCCCCAGCCUCUGUUGUCUGCUUCUGAUUCCCUGGACCUUGAGAACCACAGGCCCAGCUGUUGGUGCUCCCUGCUGCGUCACUGUCCCACGGGGUUCCCCGAUCUCUCACAGCCCAGACACCAUCCUCAAGACACAGAGUGACAACAGUGGGGGACAGCAGGGCCCAGAGAGGAAUGCAGGUCUUCCCGCUCCAGAGCCCAAGGCCCAGAUGGAGAAACUGAGGCACAGAGCAGCUCCCUGGUUGGAGAGGGAAUGUAAAGGAGGCUGUCGUGGCUACCCCUCCCCGCCCAGCCUCUCAGGGAACCCCAUCUCGAUGGAAGCCUGCAGAUGCUCCCCCCAGCCCCGACUCCCUCUAGCCUGCUGUCUUGUCAGGCCUGGCAACAGAACUGUCCCAGCUGCUUGGGGAUUGCAGGACAGGGGCACCCGGAGUCAAGCCAGUGCUCUGGAAACAUCCUGGGAGCCGGAUGCUGCCCUGUGACGGGUGGUCACCAUGCCUUUCCUGAGCUGCCGUUUUUGCAGUUUGAGAACGGAGUAGUGAUAAAACCCAGUUCCUGGGUUCGUGUGAGGACGAAGAUGGUGCAUAUAAGGUGCUGAGCCCGGUGUGAGCGCUCAGUGUGCCCAAUUAUAUUAGAACUUCCCGGCACAGAGUGUCUGCCCUCCACCUUCUAUUAAGAAAUAGCAGUUCCGAAAAUACAAACAGACAAAACAAAAAAACAAGAUUUCCUGGGUGGCUCAGUCGAUUAAGCGUCCAACUCUUGAUCUCAGCUCAGGGUCCUGAGUUCAAGCCCCGCACUGGGCUCUGGACUAGAUGUGGAGCCUACUUCAAACAAAAAACAAAAAACGAAAUAGCAGCCCUCCCCCUUCCCUCCCAUCCAUCCCCUUCACUUCCUUCCUUAACAAUCUGGUUCAAAACCCAUAGGUGAGUGCAAGGUAGGGGUGUGUGUCUGGUUGGGGGACACAGUGGUGAGAGCGGGUGUGGGCACACAGCGGAGUAAGGAGGGCAUCGCCCAGCCUGACAGGGACAAGCAGGUGCUCCGUGGGAGGGCAGGGAGGCGGCCUGGCACAGGGUCAGAGACUGAGCAGUGGGGCAGGACAGCGUGGUACGGUGCCAGGUCCCAGCAGAGGAGGAGGACGUGGGGGUGCUGCCCAGUGUGGGUGCAGCUCCCGAGCAGGGUGAGGGCAGCAUCCGGGGGGAGGGUGCAGAUGGGGAUCCCCGUGGCGGGGGCUGGCGUGAGCUGUCAGAGCCCAGACGGGGCGAGGGGCGUUGGCCCCGGGGCAGCUGAGAGGAGGCCCACAUGGAAGGCCGGUUCCCGGUUCCCUGGGAGGGGCUGGCCUGAUGAGUGACCACAUUACGGAAGCCACUCUCCCCCACCCCCCAUCGGAGGAGAGUUACAAACGUGGAAAAGGAGCAAACUGGAGCGGACCUACACUGUUCGUUGGCACUGGAGAAGCUCCCUGUGGGAACUCAAAGUUUUCAAUAUUUCUUUAUUUCAAUAUUUACAGAUAGAGAAACAAAU
This is a long non-coding RNA of Mirounga angustirostris (Northern elephant seal), 1864 nucleotides long. RefSeq lists it as uncharacterized. Lineage: Eukaryota; Metazoa; Chordata; Mammalia; Carnivora; Phocidae. The transcript is spliced from 4 exons. The record is from RefSeq and is a predicted model, not a curated record.